AGUGAACGCUGGCGGUAGGCCUAACACAUGCAAGUCGAACGGCAGCACAGGAGAGCUUGCUCUCUGGGUGGCGAGUGGCGGACGGGUGAGGAAUACAUCGGAAUCUACUCUGUCGUGGGGGAUAACGUAGGGAAGCUUACGCUAAUACCGCAUACGACCUACGGGUGAAAGCAGGGGAUCUUCCGACCUUGCGCGAUUGAAUGAGCCGAUGUCGGAUUAGCUAGUUGGCGGGGUAAAGGCCCACCAAGGCGACGAUCCGUAGCUGGUCUGAGAGGAUGAUCAGCCACACUGGAACUGAGACACGGUCCAGACUCCUACGGGAGGCAGCAGUGGGGAAUAUUGGACAAUGGGCGCAAGCCUGAUCCAGCCAUACCGCGUGGGUGAAGAAGGCCUUCGGGUUGUAAAGCCCUUUUGUUGGGAAAGAAAUCCAGCUGGCUAAUACCCGGUUGGGAUGACGGUACCCAAAGAAUAAGCACCGGCUAACUUCGUGCCAGCAGCCGCCGUAA
RNAcentral lists this ribosomal RNA (506 nucleotides) under uncultured bacterium. RNAcentral describes it as "partial 16S ribosomal RNA". It matches the Rfam family "Bacterial small subunit ribosomal RNA", at positions 29 to 523 of the family's 1533-position model. The record is from RNAcentral.